Octopus sinensis (East Asian common octopus) is the source of this 147-nucleotide long non-coding RNA. RefSeq lists it as uncharacterized. NCBI's taxonomy places the organism in Eukaryota, Metazoa, Mollusca, Cephalopoda, Octopoda, Octopodidae. The transcript has 4 exons. The record is from RefSeq and is a predicted model, not a curated record.
UUUGUGCAUAUGUCUGCAUUAUUACUUUAAUUAGUAUUAUUAUCAUUGCCGUUGCACAGCUUCUGACGCUGGAGGUGUACUACGGUGUCAGCUGUUCACUGCCAGUGAACUAAGGAAACACCUCUUAUUUUUCGAGCACCUUCCGGA